RNAcentral lists this ribosomal RNA (550 nucleotides) under Dujonia zeylanoides. Its description in RNAcentral is "eukaryotic LSU rRNA". It matches the Rfam family "Eukaryotic large subunit ribosomal RNA", at positions 73 to 636 of the family's 3401-position model. Lineage: Eukaryota; Fungi; Ascomycota; Pichiomycetes; Serinales; Debaryomycetaceae. The record is from RNAcentral.
UUUGCUUUAAGUCGGGCGAUUUAACCGGCAACUACUCUAAAAUACAAUCCAGCACUUUCCGUGUUCGAGAUGUAAUUUGAAGAAGGUAACUUUGGUUUUGGCUCUUGUCUAUGUUCCUUGGAACAGGACGUCACAGAGGGUGAGAAUCCCGUGCGAUGAGAUGCCCAAUUCCAUGUAAAGUGCUUUCGAAGAGUCGAGUUGUUUGGGAAUGCAGCUCUAAGUGGGUGGUAAAUUCCAUCUAAAGCUAAAUAUUGGCGAGAGACCGAUAGCGAACAAGUACAGUGAUGGAAAGAUGAAAAGAACUUUGAAAAGAGAGUGAAAAAGUACGUGAAAUUGUUGAAAGGGAAGGGCUUGAGAUCAGACUUGGUAUUUUGCGUUCCCUUCCUUUUUGGUUGGGUUCCUCGCAGUUUACUGGGCCAGCAUCGGUUUGGAUGGUAGGAUAAUGACAUUGGAAUGUAGCUUUACUUCGGUGAAGUGUUAUAGACUUUGUUGAUACUGCCUAUCUAGACCGAGGACUGCGUCUUGACUAGGAUGCUGCGAAACAGCAAUG